Molecule: ribosomal RNA, 445 nt
Filed under: uncultured bacterium
Lineage: Bacteria
Description: partial 16S ribosomal RNA
Rfam family: Bacterial small subunit ribosomal RNA
Source: RNAcentral
GUGAGGAAUAUUGCGCAAUGGAGGCAACUCUGACGCAGCCAUGCCGCGUGCAGGAAGAAGGCGCUACGCGUUGUAAACUGCUUUUAACCGGGAAGAAACCCCAGGACGUGUCCUGGGUUGACGGUACCGGAGGAAUAAGCACCGGCUAACUUCGCGCCAGCAGCCGCGGUAAUACGAAGGGUGCAAGCGUUAUCCGGAUUCAUUGGGUUUAAAGGGUGCGUAGGCGGAGCGUUAAGUCAGUGGUGAAAUCCUGCAGCUUAACUGUAGACUUGCCAUUGAUACUGGCGCUCUUGAGUGCGCUUGAAGUGGGCGGAAUGUGCCGUGUAGCGGUGAAAUGCUUAGAUAUGGCACAGAACACCAAUUGCGAAGGCAGCUCACUAAGGCGAUACUGACGCUGAGGCACGAAAGCGUGGGGAUCGAACAGGAUUAGAAACCCGGGUAGUCC